RNAcentral lists this long non-coding RNA (1097 nucleotides) under Bemisia tabaci. Its description in RNAcentral is "lncRNA ENSASIAIIG012081". The record is from RNAcentral. Lineage: Eukaryota; Metazoa; Arthropoda; Insecta; Hemiptera; Aleyrodidae.
GAAACAGUGUCAAUUUUUCCGCUUCUACAAUCAUGGCCACAAACGCAGCCACAAGUGAUAUUCUGUGUCGGUGAUGUUUUCUAGUGCAUUUUAGUCUCGAUGUUCACCGUGCCCGCGAUUUGGCUAUUUUUGGUUGUGUUUUCGUGGUUAAAAAUUGGAACGCUGUCAGAGAAUGACAUUGAAGUGAAUCCCUGCCAUUCUCUGCCCUCUAAUGCAGCCCAAGAAGAUGUUACGGAUGCGAGCUAUUACUGCACGUUAGUUCACUAUGAGGUUUGGAAGCAGGAUCAAGCAGAAUAUGUUAAAAACCCUCAUUGUUCACCGUCAUAUGGCAUCGAGUGUACGCUGAGGUAUACGAGCUAUGGUAUUAUGGACAGGAAAUAUCGGUGCACGAACGCUGUCAAACUAUGGACCUCGUGUGCAAAUCCAGUGCCUUUAUAUUGGAAAGGAGAGCUCACGACAUGUGCCGGAGCUGAGAAAUAUUGGAGCGAAGCAAAGCCAUUUUACGUUACGAGAAAAACGCCUCUAGAAGAAUUGGAACCGAUCUACAAUAAUCACAUUUUGCGUUCUGAUAUGCUACCCAAUACGUGGAAGGAAAAAGGAGCAUACUCUGCACAUUUCGCUGUCCAAGGAUCAAGAAAAGAAAUGGAGGAUACGUUUAUCAUUCAAGAAGAACUGCAUAUUGAAGAAAUCAAAGCAGCAUAUUUUGCAGUUUUUGACGGGCAUAACGGAAAUCAAGCAGCAGAAUUUGCUCGAAAAAAUGUAUGGCGCUAUCUAGUCAAGGAAGUCCAGAAUUCCAGGGAGACUAAAGAGCUUAAUUCUCAACCCAUGUCACUCAAACGUCCAACUGCACAGUCUCAACAAAAGUCGAAAUUUAUAAUCGAUGGUGUUGACUACAAAGCUGCUCUAAAAAAGCUGUGGAGAGAACUGACGCAGAAUUGAAGAAAAGAGUACUCAUUAAUAAUGCUGGUUCAACGGCACUGAUUGCGCUGAUUGUCGGAUCAAAGCUGAUUGUUGCGAAUGUGGGAGACUCAAGAGGAGUAAUGUGCGACUUCAUGGGAAAGGCAAAGCCAAUAUCUAUUGAUCAGAAGCCUGGGGAC